UUUUUAUUCGAGGCUAAAAAAAAAUGUUUAUGCAAUGAUAAAACGAGUUAAGCAUUUUUUUUUUUUUAAGUUGCCGACUCACCUGACAUUGGAACAACCCA
This 101-nucleotide small nucleolar RNA is filed under the name Plasmodium gaboni. RNAcentral's name for it is "small nucleolar RNA snoR26". It matches the Rfam family "small nucleolar RNA snoR26", at positions 55 to 151 of the family's 160-position model. The record is from RNAcentral. Lineage: Eukaryota; Apicomplexa; Aconoidasida; Haemosporida; Plasmodiidae.